This 450-nucleotide ribosomal RNA is filed under the name uncultured bacterium. RNAcentral's name for it is "partial 16S ribosomal RNA". It matches the Rfam family "Bacterial small subunit ribosomal RNA", at positions 354 to 796 of the family's 1533-position model. The record is from RNAcentral.
GUGGGGAAUAUUCCGCAAUGGACGAAAGUCUGACGGAGCAACGCCGCGUGAGUGAUGAAGGUUUUCGGACUGUAACGCUCUGUUGUUUGGGACGAAAGUGCCUGUUGCGAACAGUUACGGGUAUUGACGGUACUAAACGAGGAAGCCACGGCUAACUACGUGCCAGCAGCCGCGGUAAUACGUAGGUGGCAAGCGUUGUCCGGAAUUAUUGGGCGUAAAGAGCAUGUAGGAGGGCAUCUAAGUCUGUUGUUAAAAUGCGGGGCUCAACCCCGUAUUGCGCUGGGAACUGGCUUUCUUGAGUGCAGGAGAGGAGAGAGGAAUUCCCAGUGUAGCGGUGAAAUGCGUAGAUAUUGGGAGGAACACCAGUGGCGAAGGCGCCUUUCUGGACUGUGUCUGCCGCUGAGAUGCGAAAGCCAGGGUAGCGAACGGGAUUAGAUACCCGUGUAGUCC